This 72-nucleotide transfer RNA is filed under the name bacterium. Its description in RNAcentral is "tRNA-Lys". It matches the Rfam family "tRNA". Rfam says of the family: Transfer RNA (tRNA) molecules are approximately 80 nucleotides in length. Their secondary structure includes four short double-helical elements and three loops (D, anti-codon, and T loops). The record is from RNAcentral.
GGGCCGUUAGCUCAAUGGUAGAGCAGCUGACUCUUAAUCAGCCGGUUUGGGGUUCGAGUCCCUAACGGCUCA